This 120-nucleotide ribosomal RNA is filed under the name uncultured bacterium. RNAcentral's name for it is "partial 16S ribosomal RNA". It matches the Rfam family "Bacterial small subunit ribosomal RNA", at positions 28 to 144 of the family's 1533-position model. The record is from RNAcentral.
GACGAACGCUGGCGGCGUGCUUAACACAUGCAAGUCGAACGGUGACGAUCAAGCUUGCUUGGUCUGAUCAGUGGCGAACGGGUGAGUAACACGUGAGUAACCUGCCCCAGACUCUGGGAU